AAAGACGUAGCUUGCUGGGUACUCGAGUGGCGAACGGGUGAGUAACACGUGGGUGAUCUGCCCCUGACUUUGGGAUAAGCCUGGGAAACUGGGUCUAAUACCGGAUAUUCACUUUCUCCUGCAUGGGGGUUGGUGGAAAGCUUUUGCGGUUGGGGAUGGGCCCGCGGCCUAUCAGCUUGUUGGUGGGGUAAUGGCCUACCAAGGCGACGACGGGUAGCCGACCUGAGAGGGUGAUCGGCCACACUGGGACUGAGACACGGCCCAGACUCCUACGGGAGGCAGCAGUGGGGAAUAUUGCACAAUGGGCGCAAGCCUGAUGCAGCGACGCCGCGUGAGGGAUGACGGCCUUCGGGUUGUAAACCUCUUUCACCAGGGACGAAGCUUUUGUGACGGUACCUGGAGAAGAAGCACCGGCCAACUACGUGCCAGCAGCCGCGGUAAUACGUAGGGUGCGAGCGUUGUCCGGAAUUACUGGGCGUAAAGAGCUCGUAGGCGGUUUGUCGCGUCGUCUGUGAAAUUCUGCAGCUUAACUGCAGGCGUGCAGGCGAUACGGGCAGACUUGAGUACUACAGGGGAGACUGGAAUUCCUGGUGUAGCGGUGAAAUGCGCAGAUAUCAGGAGGAACACCGGUGGCGAAGGCGGGUCUCUGGGUAGUAACUGACGCUGA
Molecule: ribosomal RNA, 667 nt
Filed under: Gordonia sp. VO25-3
Lineage: Bacteria; Bacillati; Actinomycetota; Actinomycetes; Mycobacteriales; Gordoniaceae
Description: bacterial SSU rRNA
Rfam family: Bacterial small subunit ribosomal RNA
Source: RNAcentral